RNAcentral lists this ribosomal RNA (496 nucleotides) under uncultured bacterium. RNAcentral's name for it is "bacterial SSU rRNA". It matches the Rfam family "Bacterial small subunit ribosomal RNA", at positions 975 to 1468 of the family's 1533-position model. The record is from RNAcentral.
CAAGACUUGACAUCCACAGGAUUUGAUAGAGAUAUCGAAGUGCUCGAAAGAGAACUGUGAGACAGGUGGUGCAUGGCUGUCGUCAGCUCGUGCCGUGAGGUGUUGGGUUAAGUCUCGCAACGAGCGCAACCCUCGAUGCUAGUUACCAUCAUUAAGUUGGGGACUCUAGCGUGACUGCCUGUGAUAAGCAGGAGGAAGGUGAGGACGACGUCAAGUCAUCAUGCCCCUUACGUCUUGGGCUACACACGUCCUACAAUGGUGCAGACAAAGGGCAGCAAGUUGGUAACAGCAAGCGAAUCCCAUAAACUGCAUCUCAGUUCGGAUUGUGGGCUGAAACUCGCCCACAUGAAGUCGGAAUCGCUAGUAAACGUAGAUCAGAACGCUACGUUGAAUACGUUCCCGGGCCUUGUACACACCGCCCGUCCACACCACGAAAGUUUGUCAUACCCGAAACCGUUCGUUCUAACCGCAAGGGGGAAGGCGUCUAAGGUAGGCC